This 177-nucleotide small nuclear RNA is filed under the name Meriones unguiculatus (Mongolian gerbil). Its description in RNAcentral is "U1 spliceosomal RNA (ENSMUGG00000003137.1)". Lineage: Eukaryota; Metazoa; Chordata; Mammalia; Rodentia; Muridae. The record is from RNAcentral.
AAACAAAAAACAGGAGAUAAUAUAAUCAAGAAGGUAGUUUUCUCAGAGUGAGGCUUACUUGUAUUCUAGGUGUGUUGGGUCCAGUGAUUUCCUAAAAUGUAGGAACUUGACUGCGUAAUUGUGAUAAUGGGGGACCACAUUCUUACUGUGGAAAGGGGACAACCAAGCGUGUCCUUU